UUGUUCAGUUAAGUAGAAAAUGAAUUGAAGUUGGAAUGAUGCCACGAUUAGCAUGACUCCUAUGCAAGGAUGAUGCAGAAAUUCAUGAAUGUGAGCCACAUUUUU
Molecule: small nuclear RNA, 105 nt
Filed under: Notamacropus eugenii (tammar wallaby)
Lineage: Eukaryota; Metazoa; Chordata; Mammalia; Diprotodontia; Macropodidae
Source: RNAcentral